UACGAAGGGGGCUAGCGUUGUUCGGAAUUACUGGGCGUAAAGGGCGCGUAGGCGGUGUGUCAAGUCAGGCGUGAAAGCCCCGGGCUCAACCUGGGAACCGCGCUUGAGACUGGCACGCUCGAGUCCGGGAGAGGAUGGUGGAAUUCCCAGUGUAGAGGUGAAAUUCGUAGAUAUCUGCAGGAACACCCGUGGCGAAAGCGGCGCGCUGGACCACUACUGACGCUGAGGAGCGAAAGCGUGGGGAGCGAACAGG
Molecule: ribosomal RNA, 253 nt
Filed under: uncultured bacterium
Lineage: Bacteria
Description: partial 16S ribosomal RNA
Rfam family: Bacterial small subunit ribosomal RNA
Source: RNAcentral